RNAcentral lists this ribosomal RNA (443 nucleotides) under Anaerobacillus alkalidiazotrophicus. RNAcentral describes it as "bacterial SSU rRNA". It matches the Rfam family "Bacterial small subunit ribosomal RNA", at positions 1 to 431 of the family's 1533-position model. Lineage: Bacteria; Bacillati; Bacillota; Bacilli; Caryophanales; Bacillaceae. The record is from RNAcentral.
UUAUAUGGAGAGUUUGAUCCUGGCUCAGGACGAACGCUGGCGGCGUGCCUAAUACAUGCAAGUCGAGCGAACUCAAUUAAAGCUUGCUUUAUGAGAGUUAGCGGCGGACGGGUGAGUAACACGUGGGCAACCUGCCCUGUAGACUGGGAUAACUUCGGGAAACCGAAGCUAAUACCGGAUAAUUUUUGGAACCUCAUGGUUCCAAAGUGAAAGUUGGGUUUACCUAACACUACAGGAUGGGCCCGCGUCGCAUUAGCUAGUUGGUAAGGUAACGGCUUACCAAGGCGACGAUGCGUAGCCGACCUGAGAGGGUGAUCGGCCACACUGGGACUGAGACACGGCCCAGACUCCUACGGGAGGCAGCAGUAGGGAAUCUUCCGCAAUGGACGAAAGUCUGACGGAGCAACGCCGCGUGAGCGAUGAAGGCCUUCGGGUCGUAAAGC